Molecule: ribosomal RNA, 905 nt
Filed under: Penicillium glaucoroseum
Lineage: Eukaryota; Fungi; Ascomycota; Eurotiomycetes; Eurotiales; Aspergillaceae
Description: LSU rRNA
Rfam family: Eukaryotic large subunit ribosomal RNA
Source: RNAcentral
GCAUAUCAAUAAGCGGAGGAAAAGAAACCAACAGGGAUUGCCUCAGUAACGGCGAGUGAAGCGGCAAGAGCUCAAAUUUGAAAGCUGGCCCCUUCGGGGUCCGCAUUGUAAUUUGCAGAGGAUGCUUCGGGAGCGGCCCCCAUCUAAGUGCCCUGGAACGGGCCGUCAUAGAGGGUGAGAAUCCCGUCUGGGAUGGGGUGCCCGCGCCCGUGUGAAGCUCCUUCGACGAGUCGAGUUGUUUGGGAAUGCAGCUCUAAAUGGGUGGUAAAUUUCAUCUAAAGCUAAAUACUGGCCGGAGACCGAUAGCGCACAAGUAGAGUGAUCGAAAGAUGAAAAGCACUUUGAAAAGAGAGUUAAACAGCACGUGAAAUUGUUGAAAGGGAAGCGCUUGCGACCAGACUCGCUCGCGGGGUUCAGCCGGCCUUCGGGCCGGUGUACUUCCCCGCGAGCGGGCCAGCGUCGGUUUGGGCGGCCGGUCAAAGGCCCUCGGAAUGUAACGCCCCCCGGGGCGUCUUAUAGCCGAGGGUGCCAUGCGGCCAGCCCGGACCGAGGAACGCGCUUCGGCUCGGACGCUGGCAUAAUGGUCGUAAGCGACCCGUCUUGAAACACGGACCAAGGAGUCUAACAUCUACGCGAGUGUUCGGGUGUCAAACCCGUGCGCGCAGUGAAAGCGAACGGAGGUGGGAACCCCUCGGGGUGCACCAUCGACCGAUCCUGAUGUCUUCGGAUGGAUUUGAGUAAGAGCGUAGCUGUUGGGACCCGAAAGAUGGUGAACUAUGCCUGAAUAGGGCGAAGCCAGAGGAAACUCUGGUGGAGGCUCGCAGCGGUUCUGACGUGCAAAUCGAUCGUCAAAUUUGGGUAUAGGGGCGAAAGACUAAUCGAACCAUCUAGUAGCUGGUCCUGCC